UGCCCUUUACAUGGCACAGUGACCUGAAACACACUAUACCAUGUAAAGGGU
Molecule: microRNA precursor, 51 nt
Filed under: Mus pahari (shrew mouse)
Lineage: Eukaryota; Metazoa; Chordata; Mammalia; Rodentia; Muridae
Description: microRNA 5618 (MGP_PahariEiJ_G0006647.1)
Source: RNAcentral